RNAcentral lists this long non-coding RNA (6291 nucleotides) under Lactuca sativa (garden lettuce). Its description in RNAcentral is "long non-coding RNA (LSAT_LNC004825)". Lineage: Eukaryota; Viridiplantae; Streptophyta; Magnoliopsida; Asterales; Asteraceae. The record is from RNAcentral.
GGCCGCAUGGAACCCGCACGCUGGUCGCGUGUGCUGAACAUGGUUGGAGGUGAUUCUUCUACGCGGGCAAGGAAUGGGCCGCACAUAAGCUGCACAAGACCCUAUGCGGGCCGCAUGGAUUUUCACGCGGGCCACGUGACUUCCUGCACUUCAAAAUUUGAAAUUUUUCUAAAAACUUGAUUUUUGGCCAAAAUGAUUCCCGCAAAGUCCCGGUUUCAAAAUCACAACAAAAGGUUUGGAUCAAAGGUGAGAAUAAAGCUUAAAUUUUUUCAAAAAUGAACAUUUUCAAAACAAAAAAAAACAUUUUCAAAAUCAUUUUAUUCGGUUUAUAAAAGACAAAAGCACAAUGUUUCCCAAAAAUGCCCUUCUUUAACGUCUUUGGCGAGACGCCUCGAAACUUCACUUUAACACUUUGGGGCGUCCAAAUGGACGACAUCUUGUACAUUUGAAUCAAAACCUUCAUAGAAAGGCUUCAACCGAUGUCCAUUAACAUUGAAAAUUUGCCCCGUCUCAACAAUUUUUAAUUUCCACAUCUCCAUUAGAACUCUUUUCUUGUAUUUGACUUUCUUUUUACGGGAAAACCAUACCGGACAUAGACCUUUGAUAAUAGAAAGCAUCCAACCAUAUUAUUUAUUGUACUUGUUCAGUAAGGUGACCAACUCUUCCCUCAUUGACAUGGUGGUAGAGUUGGUGACCGGUUGGGUGUCUUCCUUCUCGGGAUAUGUAUCAAUUAAAAGGUCUAACAAAUUUAUCGUUUUCAUCUCUUUUGGUUCGUCUACCGCUUGAGUUAGUUUCUCAAUGGUAGUGGGUGGCUCAACCUCUCUUUUGUUAACACCAAAAACUUACGCUAUAGUUUCAUUGACAUCUUUCUCAAUUUCUUCUUCCUCCUUGAUAGUGUCUUCCAUUUCUACGCCUUCUUCCUCGUCUCCAUAUAACACUCUUGGGCCAUCAAAACUUUUAUCAUCUAUCAAAGGAAUGGCACAGGGCUCUCUUUAGAUGGUAGUUUGUCUUGAUCUUCCAUUAUACUUAUUGUUUGAGCAAGUUGUGUUAUUUUUUGCACUAAGCUUUUGAGGCUAGCUUGCGUUGUUUCCUGGAAAUUUUGGGUAGAUGUGGCAAUGCUCUUCACAAUGUCCUCUAAGGACAUGCUUGGCGUUUUAGGUUGUUAAGGAGGUGGAGGAUAUGGAUAUUGGAACUGUGGAGGUUGUUGGUAUUGGUCACUUCUCUAACCUUGGUAUGAGUUUUGGUAUUGGUUGUAUCCCCAAGCUUGGUUGUUGUCCCACCCUUGAUCCUAUUGAGGUUGAUCAUAACUCAACUGGGUUGACCAGUAGUAGCUUCCCUUCUUUUGCACUACUUCCCAUUCUCCUUGUAAAUAUGGACACAUGUCAGAUUGAUGUCCAUUUUGGGCACAAAAAUCAUAAUGAAAAGGUGUGGGUUGCACACUAUGCUCACUUUCAAUCAUCAUAACUAACUGAGCUAGCUCAGAAAGUUUUAUCUUCAAUGCUAGGAGUGUUCAUUCCCGAACCACACUUUUUUUCUUCAAUUUUUGAGGUUUAAACUAGAGUACCAGCACAAUGACAUCUAGGCGUAGAGAAACAAACUGAUUAAAUCAAAACCAAUCCCCGGCAACGGCGCCAAAAUUUGGUGGUUGUCGAGGCCAACAAAAUCAAUAACCCUAAAUCUUUUACACUAAAAUAGUGUAUAGUGGUAAAGGGAUCGAAUCUACGGAGAUUGGUUCAAUUUAUAACUCUAUAAAAAAUCUCUUUGUAAAAAUACUUGUAAAAUAACAAUAAAAAUAAAAUGGGGGGUGGGGGGGGNNNNNNNUUUGGUGUUUUGAAAUACUUGAAACAAACUAGAAUUAAGUAAGAUUUAAAUAGACAAUUUCAACAAAAACAAGGGUUUGAUGUAAAAUCAAUAAGAGAGAGAUGGUUGAUUUAAGGUUUCCUCACUUUUCCUCUUGAUGAACAUAUCAUUAGAAUCCAAUGGGGCAACACUUUGAUUUAAAUCCGUAAUUUGGCUAUAGUAAUCCAAAGAGCUUGAGAUUACCUAGACUUUUCUUAAUUAUUGAAAUGGCUAGAGAAGCUCAUAACAAUUUCCUUGGUCAAAGUCACUAAUUCUAAAUAGCAUGUAAUUAGUGAAAGUCAACUAGCAUUAAGAACCAAAAAAGUCACCAAAUCCAAGAGGAGUCAAUUGAUUUCACAACCAUGUUGGAGAAAAUGUUUUUGUGAUUGUGUGAAGAAGAACAACACAAAAAUCAUUUGUUGCUUGCUAAUUUGAGGAUCCUUUACUUAUUCAAGAAAUUAGCCAACUAAUCACCAUAAACACAUCUAAACUCAUGAAUAAAAACAUACUAGUAGUGAUAAUAUGAUAAAGCACAAAACAUUUCCAUAAAGAUUUAAGAACAAGUUCAUGGAUUCUUCAACAUUCAAUAAAAGUUCAAAGGAUUCAACAAAAAGUCAACCAAGAUUAGUUUAUCCAAGCAUGACUAAACUCAAAGAAACAAAGUUAGUUAAGAUUGUACGAAACAUUUGACAAGAAUCAAGAGAUGAAAAGAAGACAUUCUUGAGGUGUUCUUGGCCUUCAAAAGUGCUCCAAACUCCAGAGAGAACGUGUCAAACUCAGACCUCCAAGAUAAGGCUGAAGAGGCACACCAACCUUCCCAACAUAGAGCUCUAGACAAAAUCCCGAAUUUGCCCUUGUUAGGAAUCCAUGCGGGCCGCGGGGAAUCUUACGCGGGCUACGUGACUAUGAAAAGCUUUUGGGAUUCUUCAAUAUUUGUGCCCCUACAGGUUAACCAUUGGCCCAGUUCGAGUCUAAUAAGCUUCUAGCCCAUUUUUCUUCAAUAUCUCUUCAAUUUGAGCCCAAUUUGCCUCUCCCGAUCACUCAAAGCUUCCGCAAACUCCUAAACAUCGAUCUUGCACACUCAAGAAUUCUCCCGUACCUUUCAAAUUUAAAGUUCAACACUUCCAUGCCUUCAAGCAAUUGACAAGCCCACUCCAUGAAUCACCUGCACAACCAUCAAGCACGAAAUCCCCAUUGCUCUUCAAGUCCAAUCGCCUCCCAAAAAUCCCGCUCCGCUAGUCUCCAAAAAAUCUGCAAUAAUGCUCAAGAAACUAGAAAGUACCCGAAAUGGUUAAAAAAAUAACAAAAAGGAAAAUAUGCAUAGAAAUUAACUAAAAUGCGAAUGAAAUGUGCUAAAAAAAACUAUAAAAAGAAGUAAAUAAAAUGAAGCUAUCAAAUCACCCUAAGCUUAAACCUUACUUGUUCUCAAGUAAGACUAGACUAGAAUGAACUCGGGAUGAACUACCCUAAGGAAAAUAAAAAGAAUGGAUAGAACCACGGAACCUGAUCACCGUUAGUAAACAUGGUCAGAAUUGAUCACGCUAUUACCUCACAAAAUUUUCAUCCGAUGACAAUGGAACCAUAAACCAUAGCCAGGACAAUUCCUUUAGGUGAGUAAGGAGGGAUGAGCAGUCGCAGCCCCAAUGAAACAUGCAUACAACGAAAAACAUCAGUAGUAGGAAGAAAGCAGCUGGAUAGGCUCGUGUGGAGAACUUCUUUUAAUUUUACACUCUGAUCUCACGUCUGUCGGCUACUCUCAUGUGUAAUUGGGUUUAAUCGCUCGGGCACCGUUGUAGGAAUCGGUUCACUUAGUGUUGGCCCAAACUUCCCGUAGUAUCCAACUUGACAGUCUCUCUAACAUCACCAAUUUGCGACAAAAAACUUGAUCUAUAUACAAUAAAAAAAGCCUAUACAAAUGAAAAUCAAACGUUGGGUGACCAAAAUGUUGGAAAAGUUGUUCAGUAAUUAAACCGGUCACCUAUUUAAGAUAGUUGCAGCUGGAAAUUCACGUGCUAUUCGUUUUCUCUCUCUUUUUUUUCUUUUUUGAUAAACUUGAAGGUAAUGUAUCAACAAUCAAAAUUUUUAACAAGAACCAUUUUACUCAUAAUUUGGUUCCCAAAAGUGUGAAAGUGGAACUGAAAGGGUAGUGAUAUAACCUGAAUGGUCUAAGUGUGACAAUGACCAUGUGUGGAGCAUAAAGAUGUAAUGUAAGCUCCUUUUCAAACUUGUGAUUUUUCAAAGAUGAUGAAAAUUUCAAAAUGUGGACUAAAAGACUCUCUAAAAUACUAAAAAAAUCGUAAAAAAAUAUGGUGAUGUAAAGAGAUCGAAUAUGGAUUCUACUCGGGGACAAGCACCCGUGCUUCAUCCUAUCGGUUCAAACAUGAUCAAGUGUGAUCCUCUUGGCGGCGUUAACCGCAAUGCUAAGAACAUCCAUUGCUAUAGUAUAUCCUACAGUUGUUAGUAUUGCAUGAAUAAUUCUUCACAAAACUACGUGGCCAUGAUCACUUACCCCUUUAAGCUUCAAGCAUCUGAUCCCGAGUAUGAAAUCCCAAACUGCAACUAGUGGUCUUGGUUCGAUGGGUGAGAUAACAACAAGAUCCUGGAACAAUAAUGAUAUAAUAAUUAUGAACCUGUUCCAUGGUAUCCAAGGAGGUGAGAAAAAACAGACAACAAAAAUGCAUGAAUGCUAAUGCCUUAAGCUAAAUGUUAUGCAAAAAUAAAAAGUGGAAAAGAAGAAAAUAAAAUCUUUUUGAAAUUUUAUUAAAAAAAAAUGAAUGCAAAUUAACUUUAACUAAUAUGUUAUGCAACCUAACUAAAGAAAAAUGCAUGAAAAAUUAAAAGAUAAGGGAAAUGCCCCACCCCAAGCUUAAGAACAAGCAUUGUUCUCAAUGCUUAAGGAAAGGGCAGAAAGGACCUAAAUCGGAGGGUUGGGUAGAUCAUAGGGGUUCAUAGAGGAGGAAAAAUAGUGAAUAAUGGUGGUGGUCUCGUGGGAUUCCGACCGGUAGAUCUGCAGGUAAUCGAGUUUUUAUGUGGAGCGCGGGCGGGGCGCGAGCCGUGUAGAGGCUGCGUCUAUUUUCCUUAUUUUUUCCUCGAGUGAAUAGAAGAGCUAGAGAAAAUUUUGGUAUGAGACAUGCGGGAUGCGUGGAACCCACAUGAUGGCUGCAAAAAGUCUUACGCGGGCCGCAUGGAAACCGCAUGCUGGCCGUGUGUGCUGAACAUGGUAGGAGGUGAUUCUUCUACGCGGGCAAGGAAUGGGCCGCACAUAAGCUGCACAAGACCCUAUGCGGGCCGCGUGACUUCCUACACUUCAAAAUUUGAAAUUUUUCUAAAAACUUGAUUUUUGGCCAAAAUGAUUCCCGCAAAGUCCCGGUUUCAAAAACACAACAAAAGGUUUGGAUCAAAAGUGAGAAUAAAGCUUAGAUUUUUUCAAAAGUGAACAUUUUGAAAACAAAAAAAAAAACAUUUUCGAAAUCAUUUUAUUCGGUUUAUAAAAGACAAAAGCACAAUGCUUCCCAAAAAUGCCCUUCUUUAAUGUCUUUGGCGAGACGCCUCGAAACUUCACUUUAACACUUUGGGGCGUCCAAAUGGACGACAUCUUGUACAUUUGAAUCAAAACCUUCAUAGAAAGGCUUCAACCGAUGUCCAUUAACAUUGAAAAUUUGCCCCGUCUCAACAAUUUUUAAUUUCCACAUCUCCAUUAGAACUCUUUUCUUGUAUUUGACUUUCUUUUUACGGGAAAACCAUACCGGACUUAAACCUUUGAUAAUAGAAAGCAUCCAACCAUAUUAUUUAUUGUACUUGUUAAGUAAGGUGACCAACUCAUCGCUCAUUGACAUGGUGGUAGAGUUGGUGACCGGUUGGGUGUCUUCCUUCUCGGGAUAUGUAUCAAUUAAAAGGUCUAACAGAUUUAUCGUUUUCAUCUCUUUUGGUUCGUCUACCGCUUGAGUUAGUUUCUCAAUGGUAGUGGGUGGCUCAACCUCUCUUUUGUUAACACCAAAAACUUACGCUAUAGUUUCAUUGACAUUUUUCUCAAUUUCUUCUUCCUCCUUGAUAGCGUCUUCCAUUUCUACGCCUUCUUCCUCUUCUCCAUAUAACACUCUUGGGCCAUCAAAACUUUUAUCAUCUAUCAAAGGAAUGGCACAGGGCUCUCUUUAGAUGGUAGUUUGUCUUGAUCUUCCAUUAUACUUAUUGUUUGAGCAAGUUGUGUUAUUUUUUGCACUAAGCUUUUGAGGCUAGCUUGCGUUGUUUCCUGGAAAUUUUGGGUAGAUGUGGCAAUGCUCUUCACAAUGUCCUCUAAGGACAUGCUUGGCGUUUUAGGUUGUUAAGGAGGUGGAGGAUAUGGAUAUUGGAACUGUGGAGGUUGUUGGUAUUGGUCACUUCUCUAACCUUGGUAUGAGUUUUGGUAUUGGUUGUAUCCCCAAGCUUGGUUGUUGUCCCACCAUUGAUCCUAUU